GGGCGUGUAACUCAGUGGUAGAGUGCUCGCUUUGCACUGGAUCUAAUUCUAACAGUGUGAGAUUUGCGAGAAGCCCAGGGUUCGACUCCCUGCUCGUCCA
Molecule: non-coding RNA, 100 nt
Organism: Annulohypoxylon maeteangense
Lineage: Eukaryota; Fungi; Ascomycota; Sordariomycetes; Xylariales; Hypoxylaceae
Source: the annotation of a RefSeq genome assembly